AAUCCAGCCAUGCCGCGUGUGUGAAGAAGGCCUUUUGGUUGUAAAGCACUUUAAGCGAGGAGGAGGAGCUCUUGGUUAAUACCCAAGAUGCUUGGACGUUACUCGCAGAAUAAGCACCGGCUAACUCUGUGCCAGCAGCCGCGGUAAUACAGAGGGUGCAAGCGUUAAUCGGAUUUACUGGGCGUAAAGCGCGCGUAGGUGGCCAAUUAAGUCAAAUGUGAAAUCCCCGAGCUUAACUUGGGAAUUGCAUUCGAUACUGGUUGGCUAGAGUAUGGGAGAGGAUGGUAGAAUUCCAGGUGUAGCGGUGAAAUGCGUAGAGAUCUGGAGGAAUACCGAUGGCGAAGGCAGCCAUCUGGCCUAAUACUGACACUGAGGUGCGAAAGCAUGGGGAGCAAACAGGAUUAGAUACCCUGGUAGUCCAUGCCGUAAACGAUGUCUACUAGCCGUUGGG
RNAcentral lists this ribosomal RNA (451 nucleotides) under bacterium T-1-0-10H. RNAcentral's name for it is "bacterial SSU rRNA". It matches the Rfam family "Bacterial small subunit ribosomal RNA", at positions 385 to 827 of the family's 1533-position model. The record is from RNAcentral.